This 85-nucleotide transfer RNA is filed under the name Felis catus (domestic cat). It matches the Rfam family "tRNA". From Rfam's summary of the family: Transfer RNA (tRNA) molecules are approximately 80 nucleotides in length. Their secondary structure includes four short double-helical elements and three loops (D, anti-codon, and T loops). The record is from Rfam by way of RNAcentral. RNAcentral also lists the same sequence under 1 other name. Lineage: Eukaryota; Metazoa; Chordata; Mammalia; Carnivora; Felidae.
GCCUGGGUGGCUCAGUCGGCUAAGCGUCUGACUUCGGCUCAGGUCAUGCUCUCACCGUUCGUGAGUUCAAGCCCCGCAUCAGGCU